RNAcentral lists this ribosomal RNA (484 nucleotides) under uncultured bacterium. RNAcentral describes it as "partial 16S ribosomal RNA". It matches the Rfam family "Bacterial small subunit ribosomal RNA", at positions 30 to 507 of the family's 1533-position model. The record is from RNAcentral.
AUUGAACGCUGGCGGCAGGCCUAACACAUGCAAGUCGAGCGGAUGAAGGGAGCUUGCUCCUGGAUUCAGCGGCGGACGGGUGAGUAAUGCCUAGGAAUCUGCCUGGUAGUGGGGGAUAACGUCCGGAAACGGGCGCUAAUACCGCAUACGUCCUGAGGGAGAAAGUGGGGGAUCUUCGGACCUCACGCUAUCAGAUGAGCCUAGGUCGGAUUAGCUAGUUGGUGGGGUAAAGGCCUACCAAGGCGACGAUCCGUAACUGCUCUGAGAGGAUGAUCAGUCACACUAGAACUGAGACACGGUCCAGACUCCUACGGGAGGCAGCAGUGGGGAAUAUUGGACAAUGGGCGAAAGCCUGAUCCAGCCAUGCCGCGUGUGUGAAGAAGGUCUUCGGAUUGUAAAGCACUUUAAGUUGGGAGGAAGGGAUGUAAGUUAAUACCUUGCUGUUUUGACGUUACCAACAGAAUAAGCACCGGCUAACUUCGUG